UCUAAUAUGGCAGAUUAGUGCAAUGGAUACC
Molecule: transfer RNA, 31 nt
Filed under: Cochliomyia hominivorax (primary screw-worm)
Lineage: Eukaryota; Metazoa; Arthropoda; Insecta; Diptera; Calliphoridae
Description: transfer RNA-Leu
Source: RNAcentral